UACGUAGGUGACCAGCGUUGUCCGGAUUUACUGGGCGUAAAGAGCGCGCAGGCGGUCGUUCAAGUCGAGUGUGAAAGCCCCCGGCUCAACUGGGGAGGGUCACUUGAUACUGAUCGACUCGAAGGCAGGAGAGGGAAGCGGAAUUCCCGGUGUAGUGGUGAAAUGCGUAGAUAUCGGGAGGAACACCAGUGGCGAAGGCGGCUUCCUGGUCUGUUCUUGACGCUGAGGCGCGAAAGCUAGGGGAGCAAACGGG
Molecule: ribosomal RNA, 253 nt
Filed under: uncultured bacterium
Lineage: Bacteria
Description: partial 16S ribosomal RNA
Rfam family: Bacterial small subunit ribosomal RNA
Source: RNAcentral